AGGCGCUCUUGUCUUCUCCUUCUCUGCAUCUUAUCCAUUCCUCUCCUCCCCAUUCUCUCUGGUAGCACUCUCAGAUCCAACCCUCAGCGACGGCCAUUAGAAGCUUGCCAUGGAAGCUAUGAAGACCGCCGCCGACUGACUCUUCCCCAUGAUCCAUGAUUUUUUCUGCCGACCCGCCUAGCAGUUCUUCUACCACCGGUCACCAUCGUCUUCCUCAAGUCCAGACAAUGGCUUCUGUUCCAAUUUCAUCUAAGAUCCUGCUUGAUGCUAUGUUAGAGAAGGUUGGCCUGCCAGGGGCCACCUACUCAGCAAGCCCAACAGAUGGUUCCCGUCUGCAAGUCACUGUUACCUUCUAUCCAAUCAAGAUCAGGCUCAAGCGUUCACCUGUCAAGGUUUCCAUUUCUACCUCGGAGCACCAAGAUCUUGAGGAAGCUCAAGAUUAUGUAGCUGC
Aegilops tauschii subsp. strangulata is the source of this 451-nucleotide non-coding RNA. The record is from RefSeq and is a predicted model, not a curated record. NCBI's taxonomy places the organism in Eukaryota, Viridiplantae, Streptophyta, Magnoliopsida, Poales, Poaceae.